GAAACCGACACAGGUGGGGUGGUAGAGAAUACCGAGGGGCGCGAGGUAACUCUCUCUAAGGAACUCGGCAAAAUGGCCCCGUAACUUCGGGAGAAGGGGUGCCAGCGAGAGCUGGUCGCAGUGAAGAGGCCCAGGCGACUGUUUACCAAAAACACAGGUCUCCGCUAAGUCGCAAGACGAUGUAUGGGGGCUGACGCCUGCCCAGUGCCGGAAGGUUAAGGAAGCUGGUCAGCGCAAGCGAAGCUGGCGACUGAAGCCCCGGUGAACGGCGGCCGUAACAAUAACGGUCCUAAGGUAGCGAAAUUCCUUGUCGGGUAAGUUCCGACCCGCACGAAAGGCGUAACGAUCUGGGCGCUGUCUCGGAGAGAGGCUCGGCGAAAUAGAAUUGUCUGUGAAGAUGCGGACUACGUGCACCCGGACAGAAAGACCCUAUGAAGCUUUACUGUAGCUUGGUAUUGUGCUCGGGCUCGGAAUGCGCAGGAUAGGUGGGAGGCUUGGAUCCAUUGCUUGCGGGUGAUGGUGAGCCACUGGUGAGAUACCACUCUUUUCGAGCUUAAGUUCUAACCCUUACCCGUUAUCCGGGGAGGGGACAGUAUCAGGUGGGCAGUUUGACUGGGGCGGUCGCCUCCUGAAAGGUAACGGAGGCGCGCAAAGGUUCCCUCAGGCUGGUUGGAAAUCAGCCGACGAGUGCAAAGGCAGAAGGGAGCUUGACUGUGAGACCUACAAGUCGAACAGGGACGAAAGUCGGCCUUAGUGAUCCGACGGUUCUGCGUGGAAGGGCCGUCGCUCAACGGAUAAAAGUUACUCUAGGAUAACAGGCUGAUCUCCCCCAAGAGUUCACAUCGACGGGGAGGUUUGGCACCUCGAUGUCGGCUCAUCGCAACCUGGGGCUGAAGUCGGUCCCAAGGGUUGGGCUGUUCGCCCAUUAAAGCGGUACGCGAGCUGGGUUCAGAACGUCGUGAGACAGUUCGGUCCAUAUCCGGUGCACGCGCAGGAAUAUUGAGAGGAUUUCUCCCUAGUACGAGAGGACCGGGAGGAACGCACCUCUGGUGUGCCAGUUAUCGUGCCAACGGUAAACGCUGGGUAGCCAUGUGCGGAGAGGAUAACCGCUGAAAGCAUCUAAGUGGGAAGCCCACCUCAAGAUGAGUAUUCCCAUGGCAUAAGCCAGUAAGGUCACGGGAAGAUUACCCGUUGAUAGGCUCUACGUGGAAGCGCAGUAAUGUGUGAAGCGGAGGGGUACUAAUAGACCGAGGGCUUGA
This 1259-nucleotide ribosomal RNA is filed under the name metagenome. RNAcentral's name for it is "bacterial LSU rRNA". It matches the Rfam family "Bacterial large subunit ribosomal RNA", at positions 1649 to 2925 of the family's 2925-position model. The record is from RNAcentral.